This 752-nucleotide ribosomal RNA is filed under the name uncultured bacterium. RNAcentral's name for it is "bacterial SSU rRNA". It matches the Rfam family "Bacterial small subunit ribosomal RNA", at positions 8 to 760 of the family's 1533-position model. The record is from RNAcentral.
AGAGUUUGAUCAUGGCUCAGGAUGAACGCUAGCGGGAGGCCUAACACAUGCAAGCCGAGCGGUAGAUUACUUUCGGGUAAUUGAGAGCGGCGUACGGGUGCGGAACACGUGUGCAACCUGCCUUUAUCAGGGGGAUAGCCUUUCGAAAGGAAGAUUAAUACCCCAUAAUAUAUUAUUCGGCAUCGGGUGAUAUUGAAAACUACGGUGGAUAGAGAUGGGCACGCGCAAGAUUAGCUAGUUGGUGAGGUAACGGCUCACCAAGGCGACGAUCUUUAGGGGGCCUGAGAGGGUGAUCCCCCACACUGGUACUGAGACACGGACCAGACUCCUACGGGAGGCAGCAGUGAGGAAUAUUGGACAAUGGGUGGAAGCCUGAUCCAGCCAUCCCGCGUGCAGGAAGACGGCCCUAUGGGUUGUAAACUGCUUUUAUCUGGGGAUAAACCUACUUACGUGUAAGUAGCUGAAGGUACCAGAAGAAUAAGCACCGGCUAACUCCGUGCCAGCAGCCGCGGUAAUACGGAGGGUGCAAGCGUUAUCCGGAUUUAUUGGGUUUAAAGGGUCCGUAGGCGGACUGAUAAGUCAGUGGUGAAAUCCGACAGCUUAACUGUCGAACUGCCAUUGAUACUGUUAGUCUUGAGUAAGGUUGAAGUGGCUGGAAUAAGUAGUGUAGCGGUGAAAUGCAUAGAUAUUACUUAGAACACCAAUUGCGAAGGCAGGUCACUAAGUCUUAACUGACGCUGAUGGACGAAAGC